RNAcentral lists this ribosomal RNA (551 nucleotides) under uncultured Actinomycetes bacterium. RNAcentral describes it as "bacterial SSU rRNA". It matches the Rfam family "Bacterial small subunit ribosomal RNA", at positions 254 to 818 of the family's 1533-position model. Lineage: Bacteria; Bacillati; Actinomycetota; Actinomycetes. The record is from RNAcentral.
GGGGUAAUGGCCUACCAAGGCGACGACGGGUAGCCGACCUGAGAGGGUGACCGGCCCACUGGGACUGAGACACGGCCCAGACUCCUACGGGAGGCAGCAGUGGGGAAUAUUGCACAAUGGGCGGAAGCCUGAUGCAGCGACGCCGCGUGAGGGAUGAAGGCCUUCGGGUUGUAAACCUCUUUCAGCAGGGACGAAGCGUGAGUGACGGUACCUGCAGAAGAAGCACCGGCUAACUACGUGCCAGCAGCCGCGGUAAUACGUAGGGUGCGAGCGUUGUCCGGAAUUACUGGGCGUAAAGAGUUCGUAGGCGGUCUGUCGCGUCGUCUGUGAAAUCCUAGGGCUUAACCCUGGACGUGCAGGCGAUACGGGCUGACUUGAGUGCUGUAGGGGAGACUGGAAUUCCUGGUGUAGCGGUGGAAUGCGCAGAUAUCAGGAGGAACACCGAUGGCGAAGGCAGGUCUCUGGGCAGUCACUGACGCUGAGGAGCGAGAGCAUGGGUAGCGAACAGGAUUAGAUACCCUGGUAGUCCAUGCUGUAAACGGUGGGCGCUA